RNAcentral lists this ribosomal RNA (492 nucleotides) under uncultured bacterium. RNAcentral describes it as "bacterial SSU rRNA". It matches the Rfam family "Bacterial small subunit ribosomal RNA", at positions 28 to 521 of the family's 1533-position model. The record is from RNAcentral.
GACGAACGCUGGCGGCGUGCUUAACACAUGCAAGUCGAACGAGAAUCUACUGAAAGAGUUUUCGGACAAUGGAUGUAGAGGAAAGUGGCGGACGGGUGAGUAACGCGUGAGGAACCUGCCUUGAAGAGGGGGACAACAGUUGGAAACGACUGCUAAUACCGCAUGACGCAUAGAGGUCGCAUGAUCUUUAUGCCAAAGAUUUAUCGCUUCAAGAUGGCCUCGCGUCUGAUUAGCUGGUUGGCGGGGUAACGGCCCACCAAGGCGACGAUCAGUAGCCGGCCUGAGAGGGUGAACGGCCACAUUGGGACUGAGACACGGCCCAAACUCCUACGGGAGGCAGCAGUGGGGAAUAUUGCACAAUGGGGGAAACCCUGAUGCAGCAACGCCGCGCGAGUGAAGAAGUAUUUCGGUAUGUAAAGCUCUAUCAGCAGGAAAGAAAAUGACGGUACCUGACUAAGAAGCCCCGGCUAACUACGUGCCAGCAGCCGCGGU